AUGUUCAUAAAGUCGCUGCUUCUGCCAGCUUCUGCCUUGCCGCCGCCACAGCCGCCCAUCGUCACUUGUCAGCAAGGUGCACACACGUACCCAACAUCCAUCCAUCCCCAGGGGAGAUCGGCAUGUGAACAACCACGACCAUUUCUCUUGGCCAGCACAAGCAGUGCCAUCGGCAGUCAAGACAAGCAGCCAACAACUGGAGAAAGUCCUGAAUCUGGUUAA
RNAcentral lists this ribosomal RNA (222 nucleotides) under Triticum aestivum (bread wheat). Its description in RNAcentral is "partial small subunit ribosomal RNA". The record is from RNAcentral. Lineage: Eukaryota; Viridiplantae; Streptophyta; Magnoliopsida; Poales; Poaceae.